AAACUGUGCCACUAUUUGUACCAUCAUUUUCACCAAAAUCUAAAAAUGCUUUUUAUGACGUAUGGAGACAUUCUUCAUGUUUGUUUCAGUGGACACUCCUUGCAGAUGUAAAAAACUGAGAAAACUCACUUUUGGAAAGUGACCUAAAGAGUGUCAUUGAAGUGAAUUUUAAGUAGGCACGAUGAUUGUUUUCAUGGUUGCUGUUGGAUCAUAUCUCAGGAGCUGGAAUGACAGACAUUAUUGAACAAAGAAAUCAGGAUAGUGGAACUUAAAGGGCUUCAUCUCAGUGCUUUCAUAAGUAUGAAGUGCAUAUAUUUAUAAUUUUCACUAAUCACAGGGUAAAUAUAAAAUUGAUUCAUUAAAAAUGUUUCAUAAGAAUUCAAAGGACAUAGAAUUUUGUGAAAUGUAGUAUUUUUACUUAAGUGCCUUUUCUCUGCUUCUACCCCACAGCCAAUUUUUUAUAAACCAGUUGAUAACAUAAGUAGUUUUUGGGGGAUGAUACAUUACUUAUACAUUUUCUAUGUAGUAAACAUGUAUGUGUAUGUGUGUGGGUGUGUGUCUAAUUACUUUGUUGGACAGAUUCCUGUGGUUUGGAACUGCUGGGGCCAAGUUUAUACAAAAAUCUACAUUUUUGAGUAAACUCCCCAUGACUCUAGUAAGUUUCCACAGUAUUUGAGUAUUCUUUAUUUCCUAAAGCUGUACAAACAUCAGAUAAUCAAUAUUUGUAAGGAUCGAUAAUAUAAUUUAUAAUGAAAUUGCUUUAUCAGCUAUUAAUGUUAACUACAUCAUCUUCAUAUAGCCUUAUAACUCAUUUGUGCUAUUCCAUUUUCCUCUGUUCCUUUUAUUUUCACUUCCCUUGUAAUGUUAGUCUCUUUGUACUGAUUUCUGAAGAGUUCAUUUAUGAUUAAACAUGUUAACAUUUUGUCUAGAAUUGCAAAUAUGUUUUUUCUCAUUCAUUUUACUAUGGUGUUUUAUUUUUUGGUUAUACAGAAGUUGUAUAUUGAAAUAUAAUCUUGUUCUGUUUUAUGACUUUGGAGUUUUGUGGUUUUUUAAAACAUGUUUACAUUGGUAUCAUUUAUUUGUAUUGCCUUCUAUUUCAGCAGUUAGUUUGUCAUUUCUUUUUCCAUUAAUCAUCAUUCUGGUGUUAAUGAAUGCAUUAAAUAUUUAAAGUACUCACUUUGACCCGUGUAGUUAUCUGUUAAGUUCUACCAUAAAGAAAAUUUCCAGGUAAAAUUGGCUACAUUUCUGUUAACUUGCCUUACCAUUUUAUUGACACUUUAAUAAUUACUAAUGAUUUAUACUGUCUUAUCUAUUCCAUUGAGUUCUAUCUCAUUUCUCUUCUUUUUCAGAAUAUUCCCUCUGUAUACUUGCAUUUUUUUCUAUCAAUUGACGCUUACAAUUAUUUUUGCAAGUUGGAAAAAAAUGCAGUAUUAAUUUCAUUUGCAACAAAUUUAAUAGAUUAAUUAGGAGAGAAUAGAUAUCUUUAAAAUUGAGUCUUCUGUCCAACUGCAAGUUAUAGCUGAGGUGGUACCAGUUUAAGAAGUGAGAACUUCUUCACUGACUGAAAUUUGCAUAUCAAUCCAAAUCAUUGUGCUUAUUUACUAUUUUUGUAGACGUCAUUCUUCAAAAGUGCUGCAUCUUCAAUAGUCAAGGAGGACAAAGACAUCUUUCCUGCAGGUGGUGACCAUGUGGAUAAUAGGAUCAUAGACAAAUGGUGGUUCCAUCUACAGCAUCACCGAAAUGCUGUUGUUACUGCUUCUUUCUGGGAUCUUCUUGCAUCUUUGCUUCUAAAGGGGCACACCUUUUAUAGAAGUACGUCCAGGAAUAGAAGUGACCUGCUUUUUCGCAACUGGGUCUCUGACAUGUUGAGAAUGCUGAAGAAGAAAAAGUACAGAAGGAGAAAGCAGAGAUGGGGAAAGCUGCAUCCCUCAAAUAGGAUACCACUGGAUACUGAGCAGUGAACAACCUCUGGUUUUGUCGGACACCAUUUUGGAAUAUUUGGACACAGUUUCCGGAAGGAUGAGAGACCUAAUCAAUGGUAGUAAGAUGUUUAAAAUAUUAUUAAUACGAAUGAAUGCUUAGGCAAGGUUGACGGUAAAGCUCUUCUGUACAAUAGGUAGCGUUAAUAAAGAAAUGACAAGAUUUGGAAAAUCAGUAUUUGGAAAUAAUCAUAAUUGUUUCAGCCAGGAAUCAUCAAAUGAUGCUAAAACUUGGAGAAAAUUUUAAGAGAAACAGGACAUUUGGUGUCCUUAUCAGUUACAAAGGGAAAGUAGUAGCUUCCUGAUGGAGAACAUGGUUGACAGCACCUGAAUUAAAGAGGUGAAAGUUAAUACCACAGUAGUGGGAACAUCAGGCAGCGCUGAUAGGAUGCACUGAGAAGAACACAGUCUCAUUUCUGUAGUAUUACUGACUAAACUGCAGAAACCUGAGUCUACCCAUGAGGAAACAUCAGUCUCAAAUUGACUGAUAUUUUGCUUUUAGUAUUCAAACAUACUAAUUUCACUGAGGAAAUGGUCCAGAUUAUUUCAGACUAUAUAGACAUGAGAAUGGAAUAUCACAUUGGUUCAGGAUGUCUAUAAAAGGAUAAGGAAGGUUGGCAAAAUUUGAAGACAGUCCCUCAAGUAGAUUAUAGUGUUACGUGAGUAUUAAUUGCCUAAGUUAUAUAAUUGCCUGAGGUUAUAUAACAGAAAAUUCUUGUUUUUAAGAAAUUAAAACAAUUUAAAGGAUAAAGGGAUAAUGUCAUAGCUGUAAUUUUCCAAGCAUUUGGAUAAAAUAAUAUACAUGUUUCAAAAAAAAAAUGAAACAGAUGUUGUAAGAUGUUAGCAAAUAGGGAAUCCAGGUGGAAAUAAUCCAGGAAUUAUGGAUAGUCUUGUAUCUGUUCAGCAGGUCUGAAAGUAGUUGAUGAAAAUAAUGCAAAAGAACAUGUCAAAAAGAAAUGGUUUGGGCAUAUGGCUUCAAGCAUACAUAAAUGCUCAGGAAACAUGAAAAUGUGAAAUAAAUGGAUGAGUACUAUAAUACCAGCAGGCCUUGUAGAUACCUGCAUUUGAAGCAUUUAUAUUAGAAGGAAGCCUUUUUACCCAGAAUUUUUUUCACUUAGCCUAAUGUUUUCAAGGUUUGGCCAUGUUGCAGCAUAUAUCAGAUCUCCAUUUUUUUUGAUGGAGGAGUGAUAUUCUAUUGUAUAAAUAUAUCACAUUUUGCUCAUCCACUCACUAGUUUUUGGCUAUUAUGACUAAUCCCGCCAGGAAUAUUUAUGUGGAGGUUUUUGUGUGUUUAUGUUUUCAAUUCUAUUAUACAUGAGAAUAUAGUAACUGUGUUUAUUUGACAUUUUGAGGACCUGUCUGUAAGUGAUGUUUAAGAUAAUUUUUGUUACAUUUGAAGGCAGAUAAUAGUCUAUGCAAAAUGAAUAUUCUGUUGAAUAUUGAUGUGAAC
RNAcentral lists this long non-coding RNA (3429 nucleotides) under Homo sapiens (human). RNAcentral describes it as "HSALNT0380157". The record is from RNAcentral. Lineage: Eukaryota; Metazoa; Chordata; Mammalia; Primates; Hominidae.